AAUAUUGGUCAAUGGUCGAAGGACUGAACCAGCCAAGUAGCGUGCAGGAUGACGGCCCUAUGGGUUGUAAACUGCUUUUGUGCGGGAAUAACGGUCGACACGUGUGUUGAUGUGCAUGUACCGUACGAAUAAGGAUCGGCUAACUCCGUGCCAGCAGCCGCGGUAAUACGGAGGAUCCGAGCGUUAUCCGGAUUUAUUGGGUUUAAAGGGAGCGUAGGCGGAGGAUCAAGUCAGCUGUGAAAUGUAGUCGCUCAACGUCUGCACUGCAGUUGAAACUGGUUCCCUUGAGUGCGUAAGAGGCAGGCGGAAUUCGUCGUGUAGCGGUGAAAUGCUUAGAUAUGACGAAGAACUCCGAUCGCGAAGGCAGCUUGCCGGGCCGCAACUGACGCUGAAGCUCGAAGGUGCGGGUAUCGAACAGG
Molecule: ribosomal RNA, 419 nt
Filed under: uncultured bacterium
Lineage: Bacteria
Description: partial 16S ribosomal RNA
Rfam family: Bacterial small subunit ribosomal RNA
Source: RNAcentral